AUAUUUUCGGCUGGUAUCGGUGAUGUGCU
RNAcentral lists this non-coding RNA (29 nucleotides) under Cricetulus griseus (Chinese hamster). Lineage: Eukaryota; Metazoa; Chordata; Mammalia; Rodentia; Cricetidae. The record is from RNAcentral.